Molecule: ribosomal RNA, 833 nt
Filed under: Aleurodiscus senticosus
Lineage: Eukaryota; Fungi; Basidiomycota; Agaricomycetes; Russulales; Stereaceae
Description: LSU rRNA
Rfam family: Eukaryotic large subunit ribosomal RNA
Source: RNAcentral
CGGAGGAAAAGAAACUAACAAGGAUUCCCCUAGUAACUGCGAGUGAAGCGGGAAAAGCUCAAAUUUAAAAUCUGGCGGUCUCUGAUCGUCCGAGUUGUAGUCUGGAGAAGCGUUUUCCGCGUUGGACCGUGUACAAGUUUCCUGGAACGGAGCGUCAUAGAGGGUGAGAAUCCCGUCUUUGACACGGACCCCAAUGCUUUGUGAUGCGCUCUCAAAGAGUCGAGUUGUUUGGGAAUGCAGCUCAAAAUGGGUGGUGAAUUCCAUCUAAAGCUAAAUAUUGGCGAGAGACCGAUAGCGAACAAGUACCGUGAGGGAAAGAUGAAAAGCACUUUGGAAAGAGAGUUAAACAGUACGUGAAAUUGUUGAAAGGGAAACGCUUGAAGUCAGUCGCGUUGGCCGGGACUCAGCCUUGCAUCAGCAUGGUGUACUUUCCGGUCGACGGGCCAGCAUCAGUUUCGACCGCGAGAUAAAGGCAGAGGGAAUGUGGCUCUUUCGGGAGUGUUAUAGCCCUUCGUCGGAUGUCGUGGUUGGGACUGAGGAACUCAGCACGCCUUUAUGGCCGGGGUUCGCCCACGUACGUGCUUAGGAUGCUGGCGUAAUGGCUUUAAACGACCCGUCUUGAAACACGGACCAAGGAGUCUAACAUGCCUGCGAGUGUUCGGGUGGAAAACCCGUGCGCGUAAUGAAAGUGAAAGUUGGGAUCCCUGUCGUGGGGUGCACCGACGCCCGGACCAGACCUUUUGUGACGGAUCUGCGGUAGAGCAUGUAUGUUGGGACCCGAAAGAUGGUGAACUAUGCCUGAAUAGGGUGAAGCCAGAGGAAACUCUGGUGGA